UCCAUCAGCCAUCUCUCC
Molecule: transfer RNA, 18 nt
Filed under: Urtica laetevirens subsp. laetevirens
Lineage: Eukaryota; Viridiplantae; Streptophyta; Magnoliopsida; Rosales; Urticaceae
Description: partial tRNA-Ser
Source: RNAcentral